AGACCCGAAACCCGGUGAUCUAGCCAUGGGCAGGUUGAAGGUUGGGUAACACUAACUGGAGGACCGAACCGACUAAUGUUGAAAAAUUAGCGGAUGACCUGUGGCUGGGGGUGAAAGGCCAAUCAAACCGGGAGAUAGCUGGUUCUCCCCGAAAGCUAUUUAGGUAGCGCCUCGUGAAUUCAUCUCCGGGGGUAGAGCACUGUUUCGGCUAGGGGGCCAUCCCGGCUUACCAACCCGAUGCAAACUGCGAAUACCGGAGAAUGUUAUCACGGGAGACACACGGCGGGUGCUAACGUCCGUCGUGAAGAGGGAAACAACCCAGACCGCCAGCUAAGGUCCCAAAGUCAUGGUUAAGUGGGAAACGAUGUGGGAAGGCCCAGACAGCCAGGAUGUUGGCUUAGAAGCAGCCAUCAUUUAAAGAAAGCGUAAUAGCUCACUGGUCGAGUCGGCCUGCGCGGAAGAUGUAACGGGGCUAAACCAUGCACCGAAGCUGCGGCAGCGACGCUGAUGCGUUGUUGGGUAGGGGAGCGUUCUGUAAGCCUGUGAAGGUGUGUCGUGAGGCAUGCUGGAGGUAUCAGAAGUGCGAAUGCUGACAUAAGUAACGAUAAAGCGGGUGAAAAGCCCGCUCGCCGGAAGACCAAGGGUUCCUGUCCAACGUUAAUCGGGGCAGGGUGAGUCGACCCCUAAGGCGAGGCCGAAAGGCGUAGUCGAUGGGAAACGGGUUAAUAUUCCCGUACUUGGUGUUACUGCGAAGGGGGGACGGAGAAGGCUAUGUUGGCCGGGCGACGGUUGUCCCGGUUUAAGCGUGUAGGUGUGUGUUCCAGGUAAAUCCGGUUCACUUUAACACUGAGGCGUGAUGACGAGGCACUACGGUGCUGAAGCAACAAAUGCCCUGCUUCCAGGAAAAGCCUCUAAGCAUCAGGUAACAUCAAAUCGUACCCCAAACCGACACAGGUGGUCAGGUAGAGAAUACCAAGGCGCUUGAGAGAACUCGGGUGAAGGAACUAGGCAAAAUGGUGCCGUAACUUCGGGAGAAGGCACGCUGACACGUAGGUGAAGUGAUUUACUCACGGAGCUGAAGUCAGUCGAAGAUACCAGCUGGCUGCAACUGUUUAUUAAAAACACAGCACUGUGCAAACACGAAAGUGGACGUAUACGGUGUGACGCCUGCCCGGUGCCGGAAGGUUAAUUGAUGGGGUCAGCGCAAGCGAAGCUCCUGAUCGAAGCCCCGGUAAACGGCGGCCGUAACUAUAACGGUCCUAAGGUAGCGAAAUUCCUUGUCGGGUAAGUUCCGACCUGCACGAAUGGCGUAAUGAUGGCCAGGCUGUCUCCACCCGAGACUCAGUGAAAUUGAACUCGCUGUGAAGAUGCAGUGUACCCGCGGCAAGACGGAAAGACCCCGUGAACCUUUACUAUAGCUUGACACUGAACAUUGAGCCUUGAUGUGUAGGAUAGGUGGGAGGCUUUGAAGUGUGGACGCCAGUCUGCAUGGAGCCGACCUUGAAAUACCACCCUUUAAUGUUUGAUGUUCUAACGUGGACCCGUAAUCCGGGUUGCGGACAGUGUCUGGUGGGUAGUUUGACUGGGGCGGUCUCCUCCUAAAGAGUAACGGAGGAGCACGAAGGUUGGCUAAUCCUGGUCGGACAUCAGGAGGUUAGUGCAAUGGCAUAAGCCAGCUUGACUGCGAGCGUGACGGCGCGAGCAGGUGCGAAAGCAGGUCAUAGUGAUCCGGUGGUUCUGAAUGGAAGGGCCAUCGCUCAACGGAUAAAAGGUACUCCGGGGAUAACAGGCUGAUACCGCCCAAGAGUUCAUAUCGACGGCGGUGUUUGGCACCUCGAUGUCGGCUCAUCACAUCCUGGGGCUGAAGUAGGUCCCAAGGGUAUGGCUGUUCGCCAUUUAAAGUGGUACGCGAGCUGGGUUUAGAACGUCGUGAGACAGUUCGGUCCCUAUCUGCCGUGGGCGCUGGAGAACUGAGGGGGGCUGCUCCUAGUACGAGAGGACCGGAGUGGACGCAUCACUGGUGUU
This 2025-nucleotide ribosomal RNA is filed under the name Salmonella enterica. Its description in RNAcentral is "partial 23S ribosomal RNA". It matches the Rfam family "Bacterial large subunit ribosomal RNA", at positions 711 to 2716 of the family's 2925-position model. RNAcentral also lists the same sequence under 2 other names. Lineage: Bacteria; Pseudomonadati; Pseudomonadota; Gammaproteobacteria; Enterobacterales; Enterobacteriaceae. The record is from RNAcentral.